Molecule: ribosomal RNA, 431 nt
Filed under: uncultured bacterium
Lineage: Bacteria
Description: bacterial SSU rRNA
Rfam family: Bacterial small subunit ribosomal RNA
Source: RNAcentral
AGAGUUUGAUUAUGGCUCAGGAUGAACGCUGGCGGCGUGCCUAACACAUGCAAGUCGAACGGGAUAAGAGUGCUUGCANUUUCUUAUCAAGUGGCGGACGGGUGAGUAACGCGUGGAUAAUCUGCCCUACACAGGGGGAUAACAGCCGGAAACGGCUGCUAAUACCGCAUAGACUGAGCUCUCGCAUGAGAGAACAGGGAAAGAUUUAUCGGUGUAGGAUGAAUCCGCGUCCGAUUAGCUAGUUGGAGGGGUAACGGCCCACCAAGGCGACGAUCGGUAGCCGGCCUGAGAGGGCGACCGGCCACAUUGGGACUGAGACACGGCCCAGACUCCUGCGGGAGGCAGCAGUGGGGAAUAUUGCACAAUGGGGGGAACCCUGAUGCAGCGACGCCGCGUGAGUGAAGAAGUAUUUCGGUAUGUAAAGCUCUAUC